This 251-nucleotide ribosomal RNA is filed under the name uncultured bacterium. RNAcentral describes it as "partial 16S ribosomal RNA". It matches the Rfam family "Bacterial small subunit ribosomal RNA", at positions 103 to 354 of the family's 1533-position model. The record is from RNAcentral.
CGGGUGAGUAACGCGUGGGGAACCUGCCUCAUACAGGGGAAUAGCAGAUGGAAACGUCUGCUAAUGCCGCAUAAGCGCACACUGUGGCAUCACAGAGUGUGAAAAACUCCGGUGGUAUGAGAUGGCCCCGCGUCUGAUUAGGCAGUUGGCGGGGUAACGGCCCACCAAACCGACGAUCAGUAGCCGACCUGAGAGGGUGACCGGCCACAUUGGGACUGAGACACGGCCCAAACUCCUACGGGAGGCAGCAG